UGUGCUUUGUUGUACUUUUCGAGUCUCAUAAAGGUUCUAAGUUUUUUCCUAACAUCGAAUUUUAAUAUUGCUUUUGUCAUUCAGGAUACAAUGUUUUAACUACAUAUACUUUAUGGGUAAUACUAUAAUUUUAUAUCUUUAAGACAUAUGUCAGAUGUGAGUGUACAACAAUAUGUAGAUUUAGGUUGAAGGUGUUAUAGAGAUUGUUGAGAGCAUCUUUAUGAUUUAGGAUUUCAUUCGGAUUUCAUUAGGGUUUAUUUAGGAUUAGAUUGGCAUUGACUUAAGAUUUCUUUAGGAUUUGUUUAGGACUUGGUUAGGAUUGGCUAAGAACUUCAUUAGGAGUUGGUUAGAAUUUGGUUUAAAAUUGGUUAGAAUUUAUUUAGAAUUUGAUUAGGAUUAGGUUAGGAUUGAUUUAGAGUUUCAUUAGAAUUUGGUUAGAAUUUUGUAAGGAUUUCAUUAGAAUUUGAUUAGGAUUGGUUAUGAUUUUUUUAGGAUUUGUUUAGGACUUCAUUAGGAUUUGAUUUGGAUUUUUGUAGGAUUUGGUUAGAGUUGGUUUAGGAUUUUAUUAAGAUUUAUUAAAGAUUAUAUUAAAAUUUGGUUAGGAUUCAAUUAGAGUUUUUAUUUUUAAUUUUUUUAAAAAAAAAUAGUAUAUAUAUUUCUUAAAGAUUAAUUUAUGAUUUUUUAGAUUUUUUUUUAAAAAAUUAAGACUAUUUUGGAAUUU
Molecule: long non-coding RNA, 721 nt
Filed under: Physcomitrium patens
Lineage: Eukaryota; Viridiplantae; Streptophyta; Bryopsida; Funariales; Funariaceae
Description: long non-coding RNA (PPAT_LNC011623)
Source: RNAcentral